Molecule: ribosomal RNA, 253 nt
Filed under: uncultured bacterium
Lineage: Bacteria
Description: partial 16S ribosomal RNA
Rfam family: Bacterial small subunit ribosomal RNA
Source: RNAcentral
UACGUAGGGUGCAAGCGUUGUCCGGAAUUAUUGGGCGUAAAGCGCACGUAGGCGGACCAUCAAGUCGGAUGUGAAAUCCCUCGGCUUAACCGAGGACGUGCAUUCGAAACUGAUGGCCUUGAGUACGAAAGAGGAUCGCGGAAUUCCCGGUGUAGAGGUGAAAUUCGUAGAUAUCGGGAGGAACACCAGUGGCGAAGGCGGCGAUCUGGGUCGAUACUGACGCUGAGGUGCGAAAGCGUGGGGAGCAAACAGG